CAAUGAAUUAAGCAGCUCUGGGGUACAGUUGCAACACAGUAGGCACAUUAACUUAUUAUGAAAUAAGCAGAAUGUUAUAGAAUACCACAGAAGAUCAGCAGAGGAUACACAGGACCAACAUCCCCUUUGUUCCUGCAGGCAGGAUUACCAGAGAAGGCAAGAAGAUGUAGUAACCAAGGACUAAGCUGGCAGCCUUCGGAAGGAGAAAGAACAAAAGGUUGAGAUAGAGAAGAAAAAGGAGAGCUUAAAUAUCAAAAAUGGUAAAAAAGACAAUUAUCAUAUCAAAUUUUUACUUUGGAGUAGAGUGAUAC
Molecule: long non-coding RNA, 311 nt
Filed under: Taeniopygia guttata (zebra finch)
Lineage: Eukaryota; Metazoa; Chordata; Aves; Passeriformes; Estrildidae
Description: lncRNA (ENSTGUG00000028775.1)
Source: RNAcentral